Long non-coding RNA from Oncorhynchus tshawytscha (Chinook salmon), 1047 nucleotides. Lineage: Eukaryota; Metazoa; Chordata; Actinopteri; Salmoniformes; Salmonidae. The record is from Ensembl.
GCUCCGAAGACAGCUAUGCGAGGAGGGCAGGCGCAUGGGCUAAACACUGGGCGAAACUCUCCCAACUCACUCUCUCUGAACGCGAACAUCGACUCGAGGACUGUGGAAGUUGUCAGGCUAUCCGCUCUCUGCCGCUCACUUCAACUAUACCGCUACCGGACGCCCCCGUGCGAGACUUCACCUCUGCCUGUCACACGGCUCCCGCCGCCGGGGACUGGAAUUUACAGGAGGCUGGGGCUUUAUUAAAGGAACGCAUACUUGAAGGGGAACAAUACAUAUCUGGAUAUCCUCAGGCUCUGACGGUGUUGCUACUGAGAAACGUUCUCUUCUUGAGUAUGACUGGUGUUCGUUCGUAAGCAGGCUGGAGUAGGCUACUAAAAGUGGAGUCAUCAUAUACCGUAGUUCAUAUUUUCUUUUGUUUCACGCGCUCUGUCCGGAGCAGCGUCUGUCAUCUCCCGAACUGGAUUACUUCGCAUGUGUUUAUUUUGCGGGAAAUUGAGACGCUGCGUAAUCGUUUGGAGACGGAGCAACUAAUCGCGAAAUAAUUUGUAUUGUACACCUGUUUCUUAUUGCUCUGCUAGCUAUGUCAUCGGAGCAAACAACUGUCUCCACCGCCGUGAACAGAGGAGCUAAGAACCAUAUCCGAGACCGAGGAGCGAACCGAGCGGGUUCUUUUGGAACGGACCGAAAAACUUUUCUGUGGAACUUGUUGUGAAAUGAGUCAACGACAAAAAGGAACUCCCGUGCCAAGUGUAAUUUAACGGAGGUGGAAUUUGUCUUAUUUUCUCGGGAGGAAACUCAUACUUGUAUAAUCGGUCGUUCAUAAAGUUGUUCUCUCAACGAAGAGACUUCGUUCUAGAACUGGAACUCUGGAGAAAGUUUUGGAACUGGAACUCUGGAGAACGUUUUGGAACGCCGAACGCUCAGGGGGAAACGGUCGCGCAACUAAACGAUACAAACUGACAGUAAACACAGCUGUAUUGGUCUGCUCCAGCCAGACAGCUGUUAAUGAGACAGGGAGGAAAGAGACGUGUGAACUCAGCCACA